GACGAACGCUGGCGGCGUGCUUAACACAUGCAAGUCGAACGCUGAAGCUCAGCUUGCUGGGUGGAUGAGUGGCGAACGGGUGAGUAACACGUGAGUAACCUGCCCUCUUCUUUGGGAUAACGCCCGGAAACGGGUGCUAAUACUGGAUAUUCACUGAUUCUCGCAUGGGGGUUGGUGGAAAGGUUUUUUCUGGUGGGGGAUGGGCUCGCGGCCUAUCAGCUUGUUGGUGGGGUGAUGGCCUACCAAGGCUUUGACGGGUAGCCGGCGUGAGAGGGUGACCGGUGACAUUGGGACUGAGAUACGGCCCAGACUCCUACGGGAGGCAGCAGUGGGGAAUAUUGCACAAUGGGCGAAAGCCUGAUGCAGCGACGCCGCGUGAGGGAUGGAGGCCUUCGGGUUGUAAACCUCUUUCGCUCAUGGUCAAGCCGCAGCUUUGGGUUGUGGUGAGGGUAGUGGGUAAAGAAGCGCCGGCUAACUACGUG
Molecule: ribosomal RNA, 482 nt
Filed under: uncultured bacterium
Lineage: Bacteria
Description: partial 16S ribosomal RNA
Rfam family: Bacterial small subunit ribosomal RNA
Source: RNAcentral